GUUGAUAUAAAUUCAGUCCAAACCAUCUGUGACUCAUUUUGAAAACAAAGAGAAUAAUUGAACCCAAACGAACCAUGCACUGACAUCUAUCCCAUAAUUUCAAACUCUAUUCUGACAUUAGUCCCUAUUGUUUUGGAUCCCAGAGCCCUGUUA
Long non-coding RNA from Sphaeramia orbicularis (orbiculate cardinalfish), 153 nucleotides. RefSeq lists it as uncharacterized. The transcript has 2 exons. The record is from RefSeq and is a predicted model, not a curated record. NCBI's taxonomy places the organism in Eukaryota, Metazoa, Chordata, Actinopteri, Kurtiformes, Apogonidae.